GGUUAAGCGACUAAGCGUACACGGUGGAUGCCCUGGCAGUCAGAGGCGAUGAAGGACGUGCUAAUCUGCGAAAAGCGUCGGUAAGGUGAUAUGAACCGUUAUAACCGGCGAUGUCCGAAUGGGGAAACCCAGUGCAAUUCGUUGCACUAUCGUUAACUGAAUACAUAGGUUAACGAGGCGAACCGGGGGAACUGAAACAUCUAAGUACCCCGAGGAAAAGAAAUCAACCGAGAUUCCCCCAGUAGCGGCGAGCGAACGGGGAGCAGCCCAGAGUCUGAAUCAGCUUGUGUGUUAGUGGAACGGUCUGGAAAGUCCGACGGUACAGGGUGAUAGUCCCGUACACCAAAAUGCACAGGUUGUGAACUCGAAGAGUAGGGCGGGACACGUGGUAUCCUGUCUGAAUAUGGGGGGACCAUCCUCCAAGGCUAAAUACUCCUGACUGACCGAUAGUGAACCAGUACCGUGAGGGAAAGGCGAAAAGAACCCCGGCGAGGGGAGUGAAAAAGAACCUGAAACCGUGUACGUACAAGCAGUGGGAGCACCUUCGGGUGUGACUGCGUACCUUUUGUAUAAUGGGUCAGCGACUUAUAUUCUGUAGCAAGGUUAACCGUAUAGGGGAGCCGCAGGGAAACCGAGUCUUAACUGGGCGUUAAGUUGCAGGGUAUAGACCCGAAACCCGGUGAUCUAGCCAUGGGCAGGUUGAAGGUUGGGUAACACUAACUGGAGGACCGAACCGACUAAUGUUGAAAAAUUAGCGGAUGACUUGUGGCUGGGGGUGAAAGGCCAAUCAAACCGGGAGAUAGCUGGUUCUCCCCGAAAGCUAUUUAGGUAGCGCCUCGUGAAUUCAUCUUCGGGGGUAGAGCACUGUUUCGGCUAGGGGGUCAUCCCGACUUACCAACCCGAUGCAAACUACGAAUACCGAAGAAUGUUAUCACGGGAGACACACGGCGGGUGCUAACGUCCGUCGUGAAGAGGGAAACAACCCAGACCGCCAGCUAAGGUCCCAAAGUCAUGGUUAAGUGGGAAACGAUGUGGGAAGGCACAGACAGCCAGGAUGUUGGCUUAGAAGCAGCCAUCAUUUAAAGAAAGCGUAAUAGCUCACUGGUCGAGUCGGCCUGCGCGGAAGAUGUAACGGGGCUAAACCAUGCACCGAAGCUGCGGCAGCGACACUAUGUGUUGUUGGGUAGGGGAGCGUUCUGUAAGCCUGCGAAGGUGUGCUGUGAGGCAUGCUGGAGGUAUCAGAAGUGCGAAUGCUGACAUAAGUAACGAUAAAGCGGGUGAAAAGCCCGCUCGCCGGAAGACCAAGGGUUCCUGUCCAACGUUAAUCGGGGCAGGGUGAGUCGACCCCUAAGGCGAGGCCGAAAGGCGUAGUCGAUGGGAAACAGGUUAAUAUUCCUGUACUUGGUGUUACUGCGAAGGGGGGACGGAGAAGGCUAUGUUAGCCGGGCGACGGUUGUCCCGGUUUAAGCAUGUAGGCUGGUUAUCCAGGCAAAUCCGGAUAAUCAAGGCUGAGGUGUGAUGACGAGGCACUACGGUGCUGAAGUAACAAAUGCCCUGCUUCCAGGAAAAGCCUCUAAGCAUCAGGUAACAUCAAAUCGUACCCCAAACCGACACAGGUGGUCAGGUAGAGAAUACCAAGGCGCUUGAGAGAACUCGGGUGAAGGAACUAGGCAAAAUGGUGCCGUAACUUCGGGAGAAGGCACGCUGGUGUGUAGGUGAAGUCCCUGCGGAUGGAGCUGAGACCAGUCGAAGAUACCAGCUGGCUGCAACUGUUUAUUAAAAACACAGCACUGUGCAAACACGAAAGUGGACGUAUACGGUGUGACGCCUGCCCGGUGCCGGAAGGUUAAUUGAUGGGGUUAUCCGUAAGGAGAAGCUCUUGAUCGAAGCCCCGGUAAACGGCGGCCGUAACUAUAACGGUCCUAAGGUAGCGAAAUUCCUUGUCGGGUAAGUUCCGACCUGCACGAAUGGCGUAAUGAUGGCCAGGCUGUCUCCACCCGAGACUCAGUGAAAUUGAACUCGCUGUGAAGAUGCAGUGUACCCGCGGCAAGACGGAAAGACCCCGUGAACCUUUACUAUAGCUUGACACUGAACAUUGAGCCUUGAUGUGUAGGAUAGGUGGGAGGCUUUGAAGCGUGGACGCCAGUCUGCGUGGAGCCAACCUUGAAAUACCACCCUUUAAUGUUUGAUGUUCUAACGUUGGCCCCUUACCGGGGUUGCGGACAGUGUCUGGUGGGUAGUUUGACUGGGGCGGUCUCCUCCCAAAGCGUAACGGAGGAGCACGAAGGUUAGCUAAUCCUGGUCGGACAUCAGGAGGUUAGUGCAAUGGCAUAAGCUAGCUUGACUGCGAGCGUGACGGCGCGAGCAGGUGCGAAAGCAGGUCAUAGUGAUCCGGUGGUUCUGAAUGGAAGGGCCAUCGCUCAACGGAUAAAAGGUACUCCGGGGAUAACAGGCUGAUACCGCCCAAGAGUUCAUAUCGACGGCGGUGUUUGGCACCUCGAUGUCGGCUCAUCACAUCCUGGGGCUGAAGUAGGUCCCAAGGGUAUGGCUGUUCGCCAUUUAAAGUGGUACGCGAGCUGGGUUUAGAACGUCGUGAGACAGUUCGGUCCCUAUCUGCCGUGGGCGCUGGAGAAUUGAGGGGGGCUGCUCCUAGUACGAGAGGACCGGAGUGGACGCAUCACUGGUGUUCGGGUUGUCAUGCCAAUGGCACUGCCCGGUAGCUAAAUGCGGAAGAGAUAAGUGCUGAAAGCAUCUAAGCACGAAACUUGCCCCGAGAUGAGUUCUCCCUGAGACUAUAAGUCUCCUGAAGGAACGUUAAAGACGAUGACGUUGAUAGGCCGGGUGUGUAAGCGCAGCGAUGCGUUGAGCUAACCGGUACUAAUGAACCGUGAGGCUUAACCUU
Molecule: ribosomal RNA, 2902 nt
Filed under: Klebsiella pneumoniae
Lineage: Bacteria; Pseudomonadati; Pseudomonadota; Gammaproteobacteria; Enterobacterales; Enterobacteriaceae
Description: 23S ribosomal RNA
Rfam family: Bacterial large subunit ribosomal RNA
Source: RNAcentral